AACGAACGCUGGCGGCAUGCCUAACACAUGCAAGUCGAACGAGACCUUCGGGUCUAGUGGCGCACGGGUGCGUAACGCGUGGGAACCUGCCCUUAGGUUCGGAAUAACUCCCCGAAAGGGGUGCUAAUACCGGAUAAUGUCUUCGGACCAAAGAUUUAUCGCCUUUGGAUGGGCCCGCGUUGGAUUAGCUAGUUGGUGGGGUAAAAGCCUACCAAGGCGACGAUCCAUAGCUGGUCUGAGAGGAUGAUCAGCCACACUGGGACCGAGACACGGCCCAGACUCCUACGGGAGGCAGCAGUGGGGAAUAUUGGACAAUGGGCGAAAGCCUGAUCCAGCAAUGCCGCGUGAGUGAUGAAGGCCUUAGGGUUGUAAAGCUCUUUUACCCGGGAUGAUAAUGACAGUACCGGGAGAAUAAGCUCCGGCUAACUCCGUG
This 433-nucleotide ribosomal RNA is filed under the name uncultured bacterium. Its description in RNAcentral is "partial 16S ribosomal RNA". It matches the Rfam family "Bacterial small subunit ribosomal RNA", at positions 29 to 507 of the family's 1533-position model. The record is from RNAcentral.